RNAcentral lists this ribosomal RNA (1287 nucleotides) under metagenome. Its description in RNAcentral is "bacterial SSU rRNA". It matches the Rfam family "Bacterial small subunit ribosomal RNA", at positions 242 to 1520 of the family's 1533-position model. The record is from RNAcentral.
UAGCUAGUUGGUGAGGUAAAGGCUUACCAAGGCGACGAUCUGUAGCGGGUCUGAGAGGAUGAUCCGCCACACUGGAACUGAGACACGGUCCAGACUCCUACGGGAGGCAGCAGUGGGGAAUUUUGGACAAUGGGGGCAACCCUGAUCCAGCCAUGCCGCGUGAGUGAAGAAGGCCUUCGGGUUGUAAAGCUCUUUCGGCCGGGAAGAAAUCGCAUGGGCCAAUACCCUGUGUGGAUGACGGUACCGGAAUAAGAAGCACCGGCUAACUACGUGCCAGCAGCCGCGGUAAUACGUAGGGUGCGAGCGUUAAUCGGAAUUACUGGGCGUAAAGCGUGCGCAGGCGGUUUUGUAAGACAGGCGUGAAAUCCCCGGGCUUAACCUGGGAACUGCGUUUGUGACUGCAAGGCUAGAGUACGGCAGAGGGGGGUGGAAUUCCACGUGUAGCAGUGAAAUGCGUAGAGAUGUGGAGGAACACCAAUGGCGAAGGCAGCCCCCUGGGUCGAUACUGACGCUCAUGCACGAAAGCGUGGGUAGCAAACAGGAUUAGAUACCCUGGUAGUCCACGCCCUAAACUAUGUCAACUAGGUGUUGGGUGGGUAAAACCAUUUAGUACCGUAGCUAACGCGUGAAGUUGACCGCCUGGGGAGUACGGCCGCAAGGUUAAAACUCAAAGGAAUUGACGGGGACCCGCACAAGCGGUGGAUGAUGUGGAUUAAUUCGAUGCAACGCGAAAAACCUUACCUACCCUUGACAUGCCAGGAACUUGCCAGAGAUGGCUUGGUGCCCGAAAGGGAGCCUGGACACAGGUGCUGCAUGGCUGUCGUCAGCUCGUGUCGUGAGAUGUUGGGUUAAGUCCCGCAACGAGUGCAACCCUUGUCGUUAAUUGCCAUCAUUUAGUUGGGCACUUUAACGAGACUGCCGGUGACAAACCGGAGGAAGGUGGGGAUGACGUCAAGUCCUCAUGGCCCUUAUGGGUAGGGCUUCACACGUCAUACAAUGGUCGGUACAAAGGGUUGCCAAGCCGCGAGGCGGAGCCAAUCCCAGAAAGCCGAUCGUAGUCCGGAUUGCAGGCUGCAACUCGCCUGCAUGAAGUCGGAAUCGCUAGUAAUCGUGGAUCAGCAUGUCACGGUGAAUACGUUCCCGGGUCUUGUACACACCGCCCGUCACACCAUGGGAGCGGGUUCCGCCAGAAGUAGGUAGCCUAACCGCAAGGGGGGCGCUUACCACGGCGGGGUUCGUGACUGGGGUGAAGUCGUAACAAGGUAGCCGUAGGGGAACCUGCGGCUG